ACUGGAAAAAAAAGCACAAUAAAAAUUGGAAAACAUAUUUUAAAAAAUCAGGUUUUUUUUGUUUUUUGUUUUUUUUUUUUUGAGACGGAGUCUCGCUCUGUCGCCCAGGCUGGAGUGCAGUGGCCGGAUCUCGGCUCACUGCAAGCUCCGCCUCCCGGGUUUACGCCAUUCGCCUGCCUCAGCCUCCGAGUAGCUGGGACUACAGGCGCCCACCACCACGCCCGGCUAGUUUUUUGUAUUUUUAGUAGAGACGGGGUCUCGCGCUGUGUCACCCAGGCUGGAGUGCAGUGGCGCGAUCUCGGCUCACUGCAAGCUCCGCCUCCCAGGUUCAGGCCAUUCUCCUGCCUCAGCCUCCGAGUAGCUGGGACUACAGGCGCCCGCCACCACGCCCGGCUAGUUUUUUGUAUUUUUAGUAGAGACGGGGACUUUUGCAGCCUCUUAAUCCAGGAUGGUCGAUCUCCUGACCUCGUGAUCCGCCCGCCUCAGCCUCCCAAAGGGUACUGGGAUUACAGGCGAGCCACAGCGCCCGGCCCACAGAUAGACCAUUAAACAACCCAUAAAAAUUUAAAACAGCAGGGGAAUUGUACAAAGUGUAGUUUAAAAAUCUAUAAAGGAAUAAAGUACAAAUAUAACAAAGGACAUACCUAUAAAGUCCCCAAGUAUUUUUUUUUUUUUUUUUUUGAGACUGGAGUCUGGCUCUGUCGCCCAGGCUGGAGUGCAGUGGCGGAUCUGGCUCGCUCCUGUCACGCUGUACUCCGGGUUUACGCCAUUCUCCUGCCUCAGCCUCCGGAGUAGCUGGGACCACAGGCGCCCGCCACCUCGCCCGGCUAGUUUUUUGGCAUUUUUUAGUAGAGACGGGGUUUCACCGUGUUAGCCAGGAUGGUCUCGAUCUCCUGACCUUGUGAUCCGCCCGUCUCAGCCUCCCAAAGUGCUGGGAUUACAGGCUUGAGCCACCGCGCCCGGCCCCAAGUAUUUUUAAAUAAACAACACAUUGUUACUACUUUAUGUUUAAAAAAAUUCUUGAGGAAAACUAAAAAAUAUUUUCUGAUAAAUAAAAAUGGAAAUACGAUGUUUUAAAAUUUGUGGAAUUCAGCUAAGGUAGUGCCUAUGGAAACAUUUAUGUCCUUAAAU
Molecule: long non-coding RNA, 1131 nt
Filed under: Papio anubis (olive baboon)
Lineage: Eukaryota; Metazoa; Chordata; Mammalia; Primates; Cercopithecidae
Description: lncRNA (ENSPANG00000050495.1)
Source: RNAcentral